GAUAAGAACGCAGCGAAAUGCGAUAAGUAAUGUGAAUUGCAGAAUUCAGUGAAUCAUCGAAUCUUUGAACGCACAUUGCGCCCGCCAGCACUCUGGCGGGCAUGCCUGUUCGAGCGUCAUUUCAACCAUCAAGCCCCCAGGGGCUUGUGCUGGGGCCCUGCGGCUGCCCGCAGGCCCUGAAAACCAGUGGCGGGCUCGCUAGUCACACCGAGCGCAGUAGCACAUCUCGCUCAGGGCGUGCGGCGGGCUCCUGCCGUGAAACCCCCCACUGUAACCCCAAAGGUUGACCUCGGAUCAGGUAGGAAUACCCGCUGAACUUAAGCAUAUCAAUAAGCGGAGGA
Molecule: unclassified non-coding RNA, 341 nt
Filed under: soil metagenome
Description: partial contains 5.8S ribosomal RNA, internal transcribed spacer 2, and large subunit ribosomal RNA
Rfam family: 5.8S ribosomal RNA (bases 4-119)
Source: RNAcentral